CAGCAGCCGCGGGAAUACGGAGGGGGCUAGCGUUGUUCGGAAUUACUGGGCGUAAAGCGCACGUAGGCGGCUUGGUAAGUUAGAGGUGAAAGCCCGGAGCUCAACUCCGGAAUUGCCUUUAAGACUGCCGAGCUAGUAGGUGAGAGAGGUAAGUGGAAUUCCGAGUGUAGAGGUGAAAUUCGUAGAUAUAUGGAGGAACACCGGUGGCGAAAGCGGCUCUCUGGCCUGUAACUGACGUUGAGGCUCGAAAGCGUGGGGAGCAAACAGGAUUAGAUACCCCAGUAGUCCCUGUCUCUUAUAA
Molecule: ribosomal RNA, 301 nt
Filed under: uncultured bacterium
Lineage: Bacteria
Description: partial 16S ribosomal RNA
Rfam family: Bacterial small subunit ribosomal RNA
Source: RNAcentral